UAUGUGAUCGUCUCUCGCAUAUCAAUAAGCGGAGGAAAAGAAACUAACAAGGAUUCCCUUAGUAACGGCGAGUGAAGCGGGAAGAGCUCAAAUUUGAAAUCUUCAAGGUUUUACCUUGACGAAUUGUAGUUUAAAGAAGUGUUUUCUGUUGAAGUUUUGGUAAAAGUUCUUUGGAAUAGGACAUCAUAGAGGGUGAGAAUCCCGUAUUUGACCAUUAUCUUCAGCUGUGUGAUACACUUUCAAAGGGUCGGAUUGUUUGGGAAUGCAGUCCAAAAUGGGUGGUAAAUUUCAUCUAAAGCUAAAUAUUGGCGAGAGACCGAUAGCGAACAAGUACCGUGAGGGAAAGAUGAAAAGAACUUUGAAAAGAGAGUUAAACAGUACGUGAAAUUGUCAAAAGGGAAGCGUUUGACACCAGUGUUGUUUUCUCGAAAAUCAAUUAAAAAGAGUUAGAUUUUGUUGUGUAUUGACCUUAACAGCUUGCAUUUCAAUUUUCUUGCUUUUUUUAAUGCACUUUUCGUUUAACAAGUCAACAUCAGUUUCUUUUGUUGUAAAAAGGUCAUUGGAAGGUGGCUUUCUUUUCGGAGAAAGUGUUUAUAGCCUUUGACUCCUGCAAUCGGAGAGACUGAGGUCUGCAGCGUAGAUCCUUCGGGGUUAGAUACAUUUGUGCUAAGUUAUAGCUUUUUAUAGACAACUUGUUGACUAUGAUUAGUCUUGUAGCUUACUCGCUUAUGCUAUUUUACCUACGCUUAGGAUGUUGAAGAUGUAGCACAUCAU
This 774-nucleotide ribosomal RNA is filed under the name uncultured Neocallimastigales. Its description in RNAcentral is "partial large subunit ribosomal RNA". It matches the Rfam family "Eukaryotic large subunit ribosomal RNA", at positions 24 to 620 of the family's 3401-position model. Lineage: Eukaryota; Fungi; Neocallimastigomycota; Neocallimastigomycetes; Neocallimastigales. The record is from RNAcentral.